UACAGAGGUCCCAAGCGUUGUUCGGAUUCACUGGGCGUAAAGGGUGCGUAGGUGGCCAGGUAAGUUUGGUGUGAAAGCUCGGAGCUUAACUCCGAAAAGUCAUUGGAUACUAUCUGGCUGGAGGGUCGGAGGGGAGACUGGAAUUCUCGGUGUAGCAGUGAAAUGCGUAGAUAUCGAGAGGAACACCAGUGGCGAAGGCGAGUCUCUGGACAUUUCCUGACGCUGAGGCACGAAAGCCAGGGGAGCAAACGGG
Molecule: ribosomal RNA, 253 nt
Filed under: uncultured bacterium
Lineage: Bacteria
Description: partial 16S ribosomal RNA
Rfam family: Bacterial small subunit ribosomal RNA
Source: RNAcentral